Molecule: ribosomal RNA, 235 nt
Filed under: uncultured bacterium
Lineage: Bacteria
Description: partial 16S ribosomal RNA
Rfam family: Bacterial small subunit ribosomal RNA
Source: RNAcentral
CGGGACGGGGUGGAGUAAUGUCUGGGAAACUGCCUGAUGGAGGGGGGUAACUACUGGAAACGGUAGCUAAUACCGCAUAACGUCGCAAGACCAAAGAGGGGGACCUUAGGGCCUCUUGCCAUCGGAUGUGCCCAGAUGGGAUUAGCUAGUAGGUGGGGUAACGGCUCACCUAGGCGACGAUCCCUAGCUGGUCUGAGAGGAUGACCAGCCACACUGGAACUGAGACACGGUCCAG